CAGUCCCGCGGUAAUACAGAGGGUGCGAGCGUUAAUCGGAUUUACUGGGCGUAAAGCGUGCGUAGGCGGCUUCUUAAGUCGGAUGUGAAAUCCCUGAGCUUAACUUAGGAAUUGCAUUCGAUACUGGGAAGCUAGAGUAUUGGAGAGGAUGGUAGAAUUCCAGGUGUAGCGGUGAAAUGCGUAGAGAUCUGGAGGAAUACCGAUGGCGAAGGCAGCCAUCUGGCCUAAUACUGACGCUGAGGUACGAAAGCAUGGGGAGCAAACAGGAUUAGAUACCCCGGUAGUCCCUGUCUCUUAUACA
RNAcentral lists this ribosomal RNA (301 nucleotides) under uncultured bacterium. RNAcentral's name for it is "partial 16S ribosomal RNA". It matches the Rfam family "Bacterial small subunit ribosomal RNA", at positions 512 to 808 of the family's 1533-position model. The record is from RNAcentral.